AAAUGGAUUCCAACAACCACAGCUUCUCCUCACCCACCUCCUCAAACGACAUUGAGCAGAUGCCGGAAACCCCCCACCGCGGCGGCUCCUACCACCGGCGCGCCCACUCCGACUUCUCCUCCUUCCGCCUCCCCAACUUCGACGACCUCCUCCUCUUCGACCCUUCCGACCUCGACCUCUCCUCCUUCCCCUCUCCCGUCCCGCCACGUGGCGCCACCUCCACCUCCUCCGCCGCCGUCCCCAUGCCGAUCGAUGACUCCGACGACUCCUCCGCCUCCCGCCCCAGGCCCAGCUCCUCCGCCACCGCCGCUCAUUUCCGCAGCCUCUCCGUCGACUCCGACUUCUUCGACGGCCUCGGAUUCUCCGGAGACGCCGUCUCCGGGAAGGAAGUCGUUGGGGGUAAGAGGCCCGGCGCCGGCGGCCACAGGCAUAGCAACUCCAUGGACGGCUCCUUCGAUUCUGAGCUCUCUCUCGAUGGUCUCAAGAAGUCCAUCACUCCUGAUAAG
Molecule: long non-coding RNA, 506 nt
Filed under: Fragaria vesca (wild strawberry)
Lineage: Eukaryota; Viridiplantae; Streptophyta; Magnoliopsida; Rosales; Rosaceae
Description: long non-coding RNA (FVES_LNC000715)
Source: RNAcentral